Molecule: ribosomal RNA, 770 nt
Filed under: uncultured Acinetobacter sp.
Lineage: Bacteria; Pseudomonadati; Pseudomonadota; Gammaproteobacteria; Moraxellales; Moraxellaceae
Description: bacterial SSU rRNA
Rfam family: Bacterial small subunit ribosomal RNA
Source: RNAcentral
ACAUGCAAGUCGAGCGGAGAUAUGGUGCUUGCACCAUAUUUUAGCGGCGGACGGGUGAGUAAUGCUUAGGAAUCUGCCUAUUAGUGGGGGACAACAUUCCGAAAGGAAUGCUAAUACCGCAUACGCCCUACGGGGGAAAGCAGGGGAUCUUCGGACCUUGCGCUAAUAGAUGAGCCUAAGUCAGAUUAGCUAGUUGGUGGGGUAAAGGCCUACCAAGGCGACGAUCUGUAGCGGGUCUGAGAGGAUGAUCCGCCACACUGGGACUGAGACAUGGCCCAGACUCCUACGGGAGGCAGCAGUGGGGAAUAUUGGACAAUGGGCGAAAGCCUGAUCCAGCCAUGCCGCGUGUGUGAAGAAGGCCUUUUGGUUGUAAAGCACUUUAAGCGAGGAGGAGGCUACUUGGAUUAAUACUCUAGGAUAGUGGACGUUACUCGCAGAAUAAGCACCGGCUAACUCUGUGCCAGCAGCCGCGGUAAUACAGAGGGUGCGAGCGUUAAUCGGAUUUACUGGGCGUAAAGCGUGCGUAGGCGGCUUUUUAAGUCGGAUGUGAAAUCCCUGAGCUUAACUUAGGAAUUGCAUUCGAUACUGGGAAGCUAGAGUAUGGGAGAGGAUGGUAGAAUUCCAGGUGUAGCGGUGAAAUGCGUAGAGAUCUGGAGGAAUACCGAUGGCGAAGGCAGCCAUCUGGCCUAAUACUGACGCUGAGGUACGAAAGCAUGGGGAGCAAACAGGAUUUAGAUACCCUGGUAGUCCAUGCCGUAACGAUGUCUACU